Molecule: ribosomal RNA, 253 nt
Filed under: uncultured bacterium
Lineage: Bacteria
Description: partial 16S ribosomal RNA
Rfam family: Bacterial small subunit ribosomal RNA
Source: RNAcentral
UACGUAGGGGUCGAGCGUUGUCCGGAGUUACUGGGCGUAAAGCGCUUGUAGGCGGUCCACCAAGUUUGGGGUGACAGUUGCCGACUUAAUCGGCAAAGUGCCUCAAAGACUGGCGGACUUGAGGGCCACAGAGGGACAUGGAACUCCAGGUGUAGUGGUGAAAUGCGUAGAUAUCUGGAAGAACACCAAAGGCGAAGGCAGUGUCCUGGGUGGUCGCUGACGCUGAGAGGCGAAAGCCAGGGGAGCGAACGGG